Molecule: ribosomal RNA, 189 nt
Filed under: Triticum aestivum (bread wheat)
Lineage: Eukaryota; Viridiplantae; Streptophyta; Magnoliopsida; Poales; Poaceae
Description: partial small subunit ribosomal RNA
Source: RNAcentral
CGCGGGUUAAACCUCCCUUGUUUCUAUGACAAUGUUGGUACCCGUGUGCAACCGGAAAGAAACCCUUCUCGCAUACACGCUUUUCUUCAAGCACAUCGUCAGAUUGAGGAUGCAACCACUCAUGGUCGGCUCCGGGAUGAUCUAAUAGAGCACCACUGGCAGUUGGAUGGGCGGCGCAUUGACCCAUGA